This 544-nucleotide ribosomal RNA is filed under the name uncultured bacterium. RNAcentral's name for it is "bacterial SSU rRNA". It matches the Rfam family "Bacterial small subunit ribosomal RNA", at positions 358 to 916 of the family's 1533-position model. The record is from RNAcentral.
GGAAUCUUGCGCAAUGGGCGAAAGCCUGACGCAGCAACGCCGCGUGCGGGAUGAAGGCCUUCGGGUUGUAAACCGCUUUUAACAGGAACGAAAAUGACGGUACCUGUAGAAUAAGGUGCGGCCAACUACGUGCCAGCAGCCGCGGUGACACGUAGGCACCAAGCGUUGUCCGGAUUUAUUGGGCGUAAAGAGCUCGUAGGCGGUUCAGUAAGUCGGGUGUGAAAACUCUGGGCUUAACCCAGAGACGCCACUCGAUACUACUGUGACUAGAGCUCGGUAGGGGAGCGGGGAAUUCCUAGUGUAGCGGUGAAAUGCGCAGAUAUUAGGAGGAACACCGGUGGCGAAGGCGCCGCUCUGGGCCGAUACUGACGCUGAGGAGCGAAAGCGUGGGUAGCAAACAGGAUUAGAUACCCUGGUAGUCCACGCCGUAAACGGUGGGCACUAGGUGUGGGCUCCAACCAACGGAGUCCGCGCCGUCGCUAACGCAUUAAGUGCCCCGCCUGGGGAGUACGGCCGCAAGGUUAAAACUCAAAGGAAUUGACGG